Molecule: unclassified non-coding RNA, 305 nt
Filed under: plant metagenome
Description: partial contains 5.8S ribosomal RNA, internal transcribed spacer 2, and large subunit ribosomal RNA
Rfam family: 5.8S ribosomal RNA (bases 1-105)
Source: RNAcentral
GAAAUGCGAUAAGUAGUGUGAAUUGCAGAAUUCAGUGAAUCAUCGAAUCUUUGAACGCACAUUGCGCCCCUUGGUAUUCCAUGGGGCAUGCCUGUUCGAGCGUCAUUUGUACCUUCAAGCUCUGCUUGGUGUUGGGUGUUUUGUCUCGCCUCUGCGUGUAGACUCGCCUUAAAACAAUUGGCAGCCGGCGUAUUGAUUUCGGAGCGCAGUACAUCUCGCGCUUUGCACUCAUAACGACGACGUCCAAAAGUACAUUUUUACACUCUUGACCUCGGAUCAGGUAGGGAUACCCGCUGAACUUAAGC